Molecule: small nuclear RNA, 18 nt
Filed under: Arabidopsis thaliana (thale cress)
Lineage: Eukaryota; Viridiplantae; Streptophyta; Magnoliopsida; Brassicales; Brassicaceae
Description: snRNA_18182
Source: RNAcentral
CGGGGUACCCCGGUUAGC